GACGAACGCUGGCGGCGUGCCUAACACAUGCAAGUCGAGCGAAGUAUAUCUGAGGGAAAUUUUCGGAUGGAACUUAGAUAUAUCUUAGCGGCGGACGGGUGAGUAACGCGUGAGCAACCUGCCUUUCACAAAGGGAUAGCCUCGGGAAACUGGGAUUAAUACCAUAUAAAACUUGUCUUUCGCAUGAAAGAAAAGUCAAAGCGAAUAAGCGGUGAAAGAUGGGCUCGCGUCCUAUUAGCUAGUUGGUGAGGUAACGGCUCACCAAGGCGACGAUAGGUAGCCGGCCUGAGAGGGUGAACGGCCACACUGGAACUGAGACACGGUCCAGACUCCUACGGGAGGCAGCAGUGGGGGAUAUUGCACAAUGGAGGAAACUCUGAUGCAGCGACGCCGCGUGAGUGAAGAAGGCCUUCGGGUCGUAAAGCUCUGUCCUAGGGAAGGAUAAUGACGGUACCCUAGGAGGAAGACCCGGCGUAACUACGUGCCAGCAGCCGCGGUAAUGAGU
RNAcentral lists this ribosomal RNA (505 nucleotides) under uncultured bacterium. RNAcentral's name for it is "bacterial SSU rRNA". It matches the Rfam family "Bacterial small subunit ribosomal RNA", at positions 28 to 528 of the family's 1533-position model. The record is from RNAcentral.